CUUACUGUUUGUACUUCAGAGAGAGGCUGGAGAUUGGGCUGGAUAUUCCCUUUAAUGCCCUAUUUCAAGUAUUUAAGGGACUCCUCUGGGACUAGGGUCGACCUGCUUCCAGACUGGUUCGGUGGGUCCUGAAAUAAUCAAUAAGGCCCUUGCAGGGACCAGAGUGUCUGCCACAGGUGAGACAGGAGCUGCUUAAUCGAUUCCUGGAUGGGUAUCUCAGGAGAUGGCUUACUCUUGGCUUUCCUGUGCUUUUGGCAUAUGGACUUGAUGCCUUCAGUGCUAUUCCAAACCCCUUUGAUACUGAAGGCGAAAAGUAAUCUACAGUUUGAAGGUCAAUUGAGCGAUCUGGUGCUUUGCUGUCUCUGAGGAGAUUCUUGGAGGUGAGCAGCACAGAGAUGGGGCACGAGUCCAUGAUUGACUCUGUCUUGCACCGAUCUCACCGAUUGAAGUGCUGAGGAAGUUGAGACAUCGAGGCGAGUGCGGAAGGUGAGCGAGUAUUCUGCACUGCCUACCAGCCUCUUGCUCACUGCUGCUGGAGGGUGUCUAUGUGUGAUGGUCUCCUGCUCGCUGCUUCCGAGGGAUGGCCCUGCGUUCAAGUGGUCUCUCUCUCACUCAAAGCUGUCAGAUGAUGACACUGAAGUUCUGGGUCUGCAAUUUAUGGAUUGGUCUCUUUCAGUUUUAUGUUUUUAUAUUCUUUGUUUUCGCCCGUUUUUCUUGUUGCCACUUGCACAGUUCAUUUGCUUUUCUGUGUGCGGGGUUGGGGGGGGGGAGUUGCAGUUUGAUGUUUUUGUUUCCGUUUGCAUGAUUUUUUGUGCAUGGGGGGGUUUGAUGUUCUUGUUGCUGUUGGCACGAUUUAUUUUUUGUGCAACUUUACACGGCUAUCAGCAGAGCACAGGUAAUUUCUAAUCAGCCAUCAUUCACUGUACAAUUUUUUACCUCAGCUCAUUAUUACUAAAUAUCGGACAGAAUGUAAACUGUUGGCAGAUGCACAACACCAUUAUGGGUCUAACACAGGUCAAAUUUUACCAGAAAUGACUGUUCCUCUCAAGUGAGUUACUGUCAGCAUUAAUUACUGACAUUUGAACUCUUAAAUGAUAUUAUGUAAUCCAGUAAUGAUCCAAGGCAAAUAAAAUGAAGCCUUCUGAUCUUUCCAAA
This is a long non-coding RNA of Hypanus sabinus (Atlantic stingray), 1155 nucleotides long. RefSeq lists it as uncharacterized. The record is from RefSeq and is a predicted model, not a curated record. The transcript has 2 exons. Lineage: Eukaryota; Metazoa; Chordata; Chondrichthyes; Myliobatiformes; Dasyatidae.